This 428-nucleotide ribosomal RNA is filed under the name uncultured prokaryote. RNAcentral's name for it is "bacterial SSU rRNA". It matches the Rfam family "Bacterial small subunit ribosomal RNA", at positions 355 to 774 of the family's 1533-position model. The record is from RNAcentral.
UGAGGAAUAUUGCGCAAUGGGGGCAACCCUGACGCAGCAACGCCGCGUGAGUGAGGAAGGUUUUCGGACCGUAAAGCUCUGUCGAGCGGGAAGAAAUGAAUCAUGGCUAAUAUCCAUGGUACUUGACGGUACCGCUAGAGGAAGCACCGGCUAACUCCGUGCCAGCAGACGCGGUAAUACGGGGGGUGCAAGCGUUGUUCGGAAUUAUUGGGCGUAAAGAGCGUGUAGGCGGCUGGAUAAGUCAGAUGUGAAAUCCCUGGGCUUAACCCAUGACGGGCAUUUGAAACUAUCCAGCUUGAGUAAUGGAGAGGAAAGUUGAAUUCCUGGUGUAGAGGUGAAAUUCGUAGAUAUCAGGAGGAACACCGGUGGCGAGUGCGACUUUCUGGCCCUAUGCUGACGCUGUGACGCGAGAGCGUGGGUAGCAAACA